Molecule: ribosomal RNA, 504 nt
Filed under: uncultured bacterium
Lineage: Bacteria
Description: partial 16S ribosomal RNA
Rfam family: Bacterial small subunit ribosomal RNA
Source: RNAcentral
GAUGAACGCUGGCGGCAGGCCUAAUACAUGCAAGUCGAACGGGAUCUGAGGGUAGCUUGCUACCCGAUUUGAGAGUGGCGCACGGGUGCGUAACGCGUGAGCUACCUACCCAUAUCAGGGGGAUAGCCCGAAGAAAUUCGGAUUAACACCGCAUAAUAAUACGCUAACACAUGUUGAUGUAUUUAAAUAUUUAUAGGAUAUGGAUGGGCUCGCGUGACAUUAGCUAGUUGGUAAGGUAACGGCUUACCAAGGCGACGAUGUCUAGGGGCUCUGAGAGGAGAAGCCCCCACACUGGUACUGAGACACGGACCAGACUCCUACGGGAGGCAGCAGUAAGGAAUAUUGGUCAAUGGGCGCAAGCCUGAACCAGCCAUGCCGCGUGCAGGAUGACUGCCCUAUGGGUUGUAAACUGCUUUUGUUAGGGAAUAAACCUUCUUACGUGUAAGGAGCUGAAUGUACCUAAAGAAUAAGGAUCGGCUAACUCCGUGCCAGCCGCCGCGGUAA